This 750-nucleotide ribosomal RNA is filed under the name Sulfitobacter sp. R2-Sid-T25-16b. RNAcentral describes it as "bacterial SSU rRNA". It matches the Rfam family "Bacterial small subunit ribosomal RNA", at positions 48 to 840 of the family's 1533-position model. The record is from RNAcentral. Lineage: Bacteria; Pseudomonadati; Pseudomonadota; Alphaproteobacteria; Rhodobacterales; Roseobacteraceae.
CUAACACAUGCAAGUCGAGCGCAGUCCUUCGGGACCGAGCGGCGGACGGGUUAGUAACGCGUGGGAACAUACCCUUUUCUACGGAAUAGCCUCGGGAAACUGAGAGUAAUACCGUAUAAGCCCUUCGGGGGAAAGAUUUAUCGGGAAAGGAUUGGCCCGCGUUAGAUUAGAUAGUUGGUGGGGUAAUGGCCUACCAAGUCUACGAUCUAUAGCUGGUUUUAGAGGAUGAUCAGCAACACUGGGACUGAGACACGGCCCAGACUCCUACGGGAGGCAGCAGUGGGGAAUCUUAGACAAUGGGCGCAAGCCUGAUCUAGCCAUGCCGCGUGUGUGAUGAAGGUCUUAGGAUCGUAAAGCACUUUCGCCAGGGAUGAUAAUGACAGUACCUGGUAAAGAAACCCCGGCUAACUCCGUGCCAGCAGCCGCGGUAAUACGGAGGGGGUUAGCGUUGUUCGGAAUUACUGGGCGUAAAGCGUACGUAGGCGGAUCAGAAAGUUAGGGGUGAAAUCCCGAGGCUCAACCUCGGAACUGCCUCUAAAACUCCUGGUCUUGAGUUCGAGAGAGGUGAGUGGAAUUCCAAGUGUAGAGGUGAAAUUCGUAGAUAUUUGGAGGAACACCAGUGGCGAAAGCGGCUCACUGGCUCGAUACUUGACGCUUAGGUACCAAAAGUGGGGGGGAGCAAACAGGAAUAAAUACCCUGGUAGUCCACACCGUAAACCAUGAAUGCCAGUCGUCGGGCAGUAUACUGUU